RNAcentral lists this ribosomal RNA (423 nucleotides) under uncultured bacterium. Its description in RNAcentral is "bacterial SSU rRNA". It matches the Rfam family "Bacterial small subunit ribosomal RNA", at positions 28 to 446 of the family's 1533-position model. The record is from RNAcentral.
GACGAACGCUGGCGGCGCGCCUAACACAUGCAAGUCGAACGAGAGAGAAGGAGCUUGCUUCUUCGAUCGAGUGGCGAACGGGUGAGUAACGCGUGAGGAACCUGCCUCAAAGAGGGGGACAACAGUUGGAAACGACUGCUAAUACCGCAUAAGCCCACGGGUCGGCAUCGAUCUGAGGGAAAAGGAGCAAUCCGCUUUGAGAUGGCCUCGCGUCCGAUUAGCUAGUUGGUGAGGUAAUGGCCCACCAAGGCGACGAUCGGUAGCCGGACUGAGAGGUUGAACGGCCACAUUGGGACUGAGACACGGCCCAGACUCCUACGGGAGGCAGCAGUGGGGAAUAUUGCACAAUGGGGGAAACCCUGAUGCAGCGACGCCGCGUGGAGGAAGAAGGUCUUCGGAUUGUAAACUCCUGUUGUUGAGGAA